UUGGCUCCUUGCUCAGGGAAUGCCGCCCUUAAAGCAGCAGGCAUCUGCCGGCAGGCCUGAGAGUAGAAGCUGGAGAAGAAACAGAUUGGAGGGUGGAAGGAUGGGGAGAAGAGAAUCCAAACCUCACUCUCCUCCCAGCCCAGAGCCCUGCAGGGAAUGGCUUUGGAACCACCCUGGCCUCAAGUUCAUCUGUAUAUAGCUGAGCAUGACCUUGAACUUCUGGGCCUCCUGCCUCUGUCUUCUAAGUGCUGAGGUUACAGGUUCCUGCCUUGUUUGAGUUCCUGCCGACGUCCUUCAGCAGUGGAGUUUGAGGAUGAGACAAACAACAGACGAGGAGGGCACAGUGCGUCGCCGGGACAGAGACUCCGUGGAUUCCUGGGGGUAGCAGACUCUGGGGUGCUAAUUUAGAUCAUUAAAGCCGAUAAGAAAUAGAGUUACAUAGACAAUAAAGACUUCCUCAGACACUG
Peromyscus californicus insignis is the source of this 467-nucleotide long non-coding RNA. RefSeq lists it as uncharacterized. The record is from RefSeq and is a predicted model, not a curated record. Lineage: Eukaryota; Metazoa; Chordata; Mammalia; Rodentia; Cricetidae. The transcript has 3 exons.